UGAGACUGGGGAAGAAAAAUAUAGCCAUCUUACAAUUAUACAAACACAAACCUAGCAGAAUAAUGGCCCACAAAUUGGAGGGAGCGUCCUUUUCAGAUGAAUAGUACUUCCAGCCUUGAGCACUAUUGUCAAGUCUGUAUUCAUCCGCAUGGCUUAGAGUUUUCUAUAGAAUGUGGCUAGUUGGGAAAUGCAGUUAGCUGAAUUUUCAGCUGUGAAUAUAUUUCAGACUUUCUUAGAAGAAGAAGCAUUUAAUUCUCAUUGAGGAGGUAAAAAAAAUUUUUUUAAAAGAAGUUUCUGCUAAACAUCUAUGCAACAGAAAAUGCUAUAAUGAAUUACUGGAUGGCAAUAUUCCGUUGAAGCCUAAGAACAAUGGUUGAGGAUUGAGGCAAGUUCUGAUCGUCUUCUUGAUCUAUUUUUUUUAAUCAACUGUAGGCUGGGCCCUACAAUGAGCUUUUCAGCUUUUAUCAAUCAAAUCAUCGAAUUCACUUUCUCCUUUUCUUUCACACGUCCUUCCCCACCAUCCCAUCCUCCAUACACCAAAGUCUCUUUGAAGAUUUGAGAACAGUGCAAAUGUAGUGUCUACUUGGCCACAGAGAGCAGAAAGUCCUUUUCUUGACCCUCUCUUGAAACCCUGUGGUUGCUCAGUGAUUAGAGCCAGAUGUACACCCUGUCCUGCACUUUGAACACUGUAAUUUUCUUCCAGCAUCAGGAGCUUGUAUGGCUCUGAACAGUGGAUAAUCAUUGCAGCACUUGACAACAAUGCAGGUGCCUGGUAUGUACCUCUAGGGAUUCUAAUUUCAAGGUUCUUUGGUGAGGUCCAUUGAUAAGCAUCACCAGUGAUUCAAAUGCAGGUAGUCCAGUCUACCUUUUGUAAGUCAUACUGCCAUGGGCUUUGAUGUCAGGCCUGUGUUCAAGUCUUACCUCUGUUUGUGACCCAGGAUGUGUUAUAUAAUUUAUUUCCACAUUCAUUUUAUUCUCAUUAUGCAGCUAAGAAAAAUCCUACCCAUUACUGACCCAUCCAGGUUUGAGACUAAAUUAUUACACACUCAUGGCUCCUGGAUAAUUCCUUAGGAUCAGCUGAUGCCCUGACGCAUUCCUUCACAAAAGUAAUUAUAAAUGGGACAUCUAAACAAUGAUUGAUUAAAAAAUAUUCUAAGUGCCCUGUUAAAUACUGAUUACCAUUGAAAGCAUUAGUGGGAAAACAGUUGAUGCUGGUGGUUGUGGGCAUUUACUGAAGGGUCUUGAUGUAUGAACAAUAUGGGGGCUAGAGAAAGGGGAAACUUAUCUUCAAGUAAAAUUCUACAGAAAUGGUAAGGUCAGACUGCCUUACACAUCUUUAUUGGUGUUUUUAUUUUGAAGUUGAUCAGAAGCAGGUCUGUGGCUCACUGGAGGUUAAGCAGAAAAUCCUGGGAACCAGCCUUGCUUCUUGCUUUAACCCUAUAAUGGUUUCAGAACAUUUUGUUAUCUAUUUGUUUAUUUUUUUUAGACAGAGUCUCGUUCUGCCACCCAGGCAGGAGUGCAGUGGCGUGAUCUCUGCUUAUUGCAACCUCUGUCUCCUAGGUUCAAGCGAUUCUCAUGUCUCAGCCUCCCAAAUAGCUGGGAUUACAGAACCAGAAUCAGGAGGAAACAGCAGUGAAAUAGGAUUCAGACGGGAAGGCUUUGAAAUUACAAGGUCAGUUGCAUUAUGGAAACUUUGAUUUCAAGGGAUGAGCUUCAAGCUGACCGCAUGAGAUUGAUACAGACUCAUAGAGGUGAUCACCGACAACCAGCAACAAUCAAAGAAUGGAGAAAAAGCGGGGAAAGGGCUAAUUCUUUUUAUGACAAGCUGCUUCUACUAGCCAAUCACUGGAGCAUUAAUUCUGGUUCAAAGAAGCCUGAGGGAGUAUCCUCCAACCUAGUAACCAGAUGGUCAGUGCUGCAAUAGUGUCAACAGAUGGAGUGGGGAAGUGGGGAAAUGGCCAAAACAUUGAACAUAAAGUGAAUUUGAGCCUAAAUGGAGAUGCCUCUGUGGCAGCCUUCCAGCUGUAAAUCCAGGAAGUCCCCCAAACACAGCAUAGGUCAUUAGUUCCUUGAAGGUGUCCCUGAAGUCCCAGAAACAGGCUUUCAAGGUAUUAAGGGUAGGGGGAGGGAGGAGAACUCAUAAGCUUUUUAUGUUUAAAAAGCCCUAACAGAAAUCAUAUUUCACAUCUAUA
Callithrix jacchus (white-tufted-ear marmoset) is the source of this 2192-nucleotide long non-coding RNA. RefSeq lists it as uncharacterized. NCBI's taxonomy places the organism in Eukaryota, Metazoa, Chordata, Mammalia, Primates, Cebidae. The record is from RefSeq and is a predicted model, not a curated record.